CCCUUAGAUGUUCUGGGCCGCACGCGCGCUACACUGACUGGUGCAACAAGUGUCGCUCCUUGGCCGAUAGGCCUGGGCAAUCUUUGAACGCCAGUCGUGAUGGGGAUAGAUUCUUGCAAUUUUUGAUCUUCAACGAGGAAUUCCUAGUAAACGCGAGUCAUCAACUCGCAUUGAUUACGUCCCUGCCCUUUGUACACACCGCCCGUCGCACCUACCGAUUGAAUGGUCCGGUGAAGCGUUCGGACCGUGGCCUUUGGACGGUUCGCCGUCUGUUGGCUGCGGGAAGUUCGUUAAACCUUAUCAUUUAGAGGAAGGAGAAGUCGUAACA
RNAcentral lists this ribosomal RNA (328 nucleotides) under uncultured eukaryote. Its description in RNAcentral is "partial 18S ribosomal RNA". It matches the Rfam family "Eukaryotic small subunit ribosomal RNA", at positions 1470 to 1796 of the family's 1831-position model. The record is from RNAcentral.